This 871-nucleotide ribosomal RNA is filed under the name Circinotrichum circinatum. Its description in RNAcentral is "partial large subunit ribosomal RNA". It matches the Rfam family "Eukaryotic large subunit ribosomal RNA", at positions 40 to 938 of the family's 3401-position model. The record is from RNAcentral. Lineage: Eukaryota; Fungi; Ascomycota; Sordariomycetes; Xylariales; Coniocessiaceae.
AUAUCAAUAAGCGGAGGAAAAGAAACCAACAGGGAUUCCCCUAGUAACGGCGAGUGAAGCGGGAACAGCUCAAAUUUGAAAGCUGGCCUUCUGGUCCGCAUUGUAAUUUGUAGAGGAUGCUUUUGGCGCGGUGCCUUCUGAGUUCCUUGGAACAGGACGCCUUAGAGGGUGAGAGCCCCGUACAGUUGGACACCUAGCCUUUGUAAAGCUCCUUCGACGAGUCGAGUAGUUUGGGAAUGCUGCUCUAAAUGGGAGGUAAAUUUCUUCUAAAGCUAAAUACCGGCCAGAGACCGAUAGCGCACAAGUAGAGUGAUCGAAAGAUGAAAAGCACUUUGAAAAGAGGGUUAAAUAGCACGUGAAAUUGUUGAAAGGGAAGCGCUUAUGACCAGACUUUUUCCUGGCGAAUCAUCCGGCGUUCUCGCCGGUGCACUUCGUCAGGUUUAGGCCAACAUCGAUUUCCGCCGGGGGAUAAAGGCUUCGGGAAUGUGACUCCCCACGGGGAGUGUUAUAGCCCGUUGCGUAAUACCCUGGCGGGGAUCGAGGUUCGCGCUUCGGCAAGGAUGUUGGCAUAAUGGUCAUCAGUGACCCGUCUUGAAACACGGACCAAGGAGUCGAACAUUUGUGCGAGUGUUUGGGUGUUAAACCCUCACGCGUAAUGAAAGUGAACGGAGGUGAGAGCCUUAGGGUGCAUCAUCGACCGAUCCUGAUGUCUUCGGAUGGAUUUGAGUAAGAGCAUAAAUGUUCGGACCCGAAAGAUGGUGAACUAUGCGUGGAUAGGGUGAAGCCAGAGGAAACUCUGGUGGAGGCUCGCAGCGGUUCUGACGUGCAAAUCGAUCGUCAAAUCUGCGCAUGGGGGCGAAAGACUAAUCGA